AACGAACGCUGGCGGCAUGCCUAACACAUGCGAGUCGAACGAGGGCUUCGGCCUUAGUGGCGCACGGGUGCGUAACGCGUGGGAACCUGCCCUUGGGUUUGGGAUAACGCCGGGAAACUGGUGCUAAUACCGGAUGAUAUCUUCGGAUCAAAGAUUUAUCGCCUGAGGAUGGGCCCGCGUUUGAUUAGGUAGUUGGUGGGGUAAAGGCCUACCAAGGCGACGAUCCUUAGCUGGUCUGAGAGGAUGAUCAGCCACACUGGGACUGAGACACGGCCCAGACUCCUACGGGAGGCAGCAGUGGGGAAUAUUGGACAAUGGGCGCAAGCCUGAUCCAGCAAUGCCGCGUGAGUGAUGAAGGCCUUAGGGUUGUAAAGCUCUUUUACCCGGGAAGAUAAUGACGGUACCGGGAGAAUAAGCCCCGGCUAACUCCGUG
Molecule: ribosomal RNA, 433 nt
Filed under: uncultured bacterium
Lineage: Bacteria
Description: partial 16S ribosomal RNA
Rfam family: Bacterial small subunit ribosomal RNA
Source: RNAcentral